UGUGUUCAAGUUUUUUAGGGCAUACGGUGGAUGCCUUGGCAUCAGGAGCCGAUGAAGGACGUGGGAGCCUGCGAUAUGCCUCGGGGAGUCGGCAACCAGACUGUGAUCCGGGGAUUUCCGAAUGGGGAAACCUGGCACCCGUCAUGGGGUGUCGCCGCCGCCUGAAUGUAUAGGGCGGCUGGUGGGAACGCGGGGAAGUGAAACAUCUCAGUACCCGCAGGAAGAGAAAACAAUUGUGAUUCCGUGAGUAGUGGUGAGCGAAAGCGGAGGAGCCUAAACCGUGCGCGUGUGAUAACCGGCAGGUGUUGCGUGUGCGGGGUUGUGGGACCAUCCGGUCAGUGCUGCCGCGCUGGCAAAGAGUUACAAAACAUCGUGAUAGUCGAACGGCAUGGGAAGGCCGGCCAUAGACGGUGAGAGUCCGGUAGGCGAAAUCAUGAUGUCUCUUGGGUGUGUUCCCGAGUAGCACGGGGCCCGUGAAAUCCCGUGUGAAUCUGCCACGACCACGUGGUAAGGCUGAAUACUUCCUGAUGACCGAUAGCGGACCAGUACCGUGAGGGAAAGGUGAAAAGUGCCCCGGUGAGGGGUCGUGAAAUAGUACCUGAAACCGUGUGCCUACAAGCCGUCAGAGCGUCCUCAAUGUCCCGCUUGCCGGGGUGUUGUUCGUGAUGGCGUGCCUUUUGAAGAAUGAGCCUGCGAGUUAUGGUGUGUGGCGAGGUUAACCGGUGGCGGGUAGCCGUAGCGAAAGCGAGUCUGAAGAGGGCGUUUUUAGUCGCAUGCUGUAGACCCGAAGCGGGGUGAUCUAGCCAUGGGCAGGGUGAAGCGCCGGUAAGACGGUGUGGAGGCCCGAACCCACCAGGGUUGAAAACCUGGGGGAUGACCUGUGGUUAGGGGUGAAAGGCCAAUCAAACUCCGUGAUAGCUGGUUCUCCCCGAAAUGCAUUUAGGUGCAGCGUUGCGUGUUUCUUGCCGGAGGUAGAGCUACUGGAUGGCUGAGGGGCCCUACAAGGUUACUGACGUCAGCCAAACUCCGAAUGCCGGUAAGUGAGAGCGUGGCAGUGAGACUGCGGGGGAUAAGCUUCGUAGUCGAGAGGGAAACAGCCCAGAUCAUCGGUUAAGGCCCCUAAGCGUGUGCUAAGUGGGAAAGGAUGUGGAGUUGCCGUGACAACCAGGAGGUUGGCUUAGAAGCAGCCAUCCUUGAAAGAGUGCGUAAUAGCUCACUGGUCAAGUGAUUCCGCGCCGACAAUGUAGCGGGGCUCAAGCACACCGCCGAAGCCGUGGCACUGCAUCCCUGUGUGGGGUGUGGUGGGUAGGGGAGCGUCCUGCAGCCGGUGAAGCCGCCGGGUGACCGAGUGGUGGAGGCUGCGGGAGUGAGAAUGCAGGCAUGAGUAGCGAAUCACACGUGGGAAACGUGUGCGCCGGAUGACCAAGGGUUCCUGGGGCAGGCUAAUCCGCCCAGGGUAAGUCGGGACCUAAGGCGAGGCCGACAGGCGUAGUCGAUGGACAACGGGUUGAUAUUCCCGUACCCGCUGGUAUGCGCCAACGCCGAACCCUCUGAUGCUAACCACCCGAACCGUUGCCGGGGCCUUCGGGCCUGGGUGGUGGGGAGCGUGGGGCCCGAGGGGGUAGUAGGUGAGUGAUGGGGUGACGCAGGAGGGUAGCUCAGCCCAGGCGAUGGUUGUCCUGGGGUAAGCAUGUAGCCCGGUGUGCAGGUAAAUCCGCGCGCCAUACAAGGGUGAGAUGUGAUGCCGAGCCGUUUUAGGUGAAGUGAGUGAUCCCAUGCUGCCGAGAAAAGCCUCUAGCGAGUGUACCGGCGGCCCGUACCCUAAACCGACUCAGGUGGUCAGGUAGAGAAUACCAAGGCGAUCGGGUGAACUGUGGUUAAGGAACUCGGCAAAUUGCCCCCGUAACUUUGGGAGAAGGGGGACCUGGCCUGGUGAGGGGAUUUACUUCCUGAGCUGGGCGGGGUCGCAGAGGCCAGGGGGAAGCGACUGUUUACUAAAAACACAGGUCCGUGCGAAGUCGUAAGACGCUGUAUACGGACUGACGCCUGCCCGGUGCCGGAACGUUAAGAGGACCGGUGAGACCCCUUUUUGGGGGUCGAGGCUGAGAAUCUAAGCGCCGGUAAACGGCGGUGGUAACUAUAACCAUCCUAAGGUAGCGAAAUUCCUUGUCGGGUAAGUUCCGACCUGCACGAAUGGCGUAACGACUUCCCCGCUGUCUCAACCACAGGCCCGGCGAAAUUGCAGUACGAGUAAAGAUGCUCGUUUCGCGCAGCAGGACGGAAAGACCCCGGGACCUUCACUAUAGCUUGGCAUUGGCGCCUGAAGCGUCUUGUGUAGGAUAGGUGGGAGACUGUGAAGCCCAGACGCCAGUUUGGGUGGAGUCGCUGGUGAAAUACCACUCUGGUCGUUUUGAGCGUCUAACCCGCACCCGUGGAUCCGGGUGGGGGACAGUGCCUGGUGGGUAGUUUAACUGGGGCGGUUGCCUCCUAAAGUGUAACGGAGGCGCCCAAAGGUUCCCUCAGCCUGGUUGGCAAUCAGGUGGCGAGUGCAAGGGCACAAGGGAGCUUGACUGUGAGACGGACGUGUCGAGCAGGUGCGAAAGCAGGGCCUAGUGAUCCGGCACCGACGUGUGGAAGUGGUGUCGCUCAACGGCUAAAAGGUACCCCGGGGAUAACAGGCUGAUCUUCCCCAAGAGUCCAUAUCGACGGGAUGGUUUGGCACCUCGAUGUCGGCUCGUCGCAUCCUGGGGCUGGAGUAGGUCCCAAGGGUUGGGCUGUUCGCCCAUUAAAGCGGCACGCGAGCUGGGUUUAGAACGUCGCGAGACAGUUCGGUCCCUAUCCGCUGCGCGCGCAGGAGAAUUGAGAGGGUCUGUCCCUAGUACGAGAGGACCGGGACGGACGAACCUCUGGUGUGCCAGUUGUCCCGCCAGGGGCACGGCUGGUUGGCUACGUUCGGCAGGGAUAACCGCUGAAAGCAUCUAAGCGGGAAGCCUUCCUCGAGAUGAGUUCUCCCUCCCGCUUUCGGGUGGGGUAAGGCUCCCGGUAGACGACCGGGUUGAUAGGCCGGAGAUGGAAGCGCGGUAACGUGUGGAGUCGACCGGUACUAAUAGGCCGAGUGGCUUGAACACAC
RNAcentral lists this ribosomal RNA (3130 nucleotides) under Actinomadura graeca. RNAcentral describes it as "Actinomadura sp. 32-07 23S ribosomal RNA". It matches the Rfam family "Bacterial large subunit ribosomal RNA". The record is from RNAcentral. Lineage: Bacteria; Bacillati; Actinomycetota; Actinomycetes; Streptosporangiales; Thermomonosporaceae.